Molecule: long non-coding RNA, 500 nt
Organism: Uloborus diversus
Lineage: Eukaryota; Metazoa; Arthropoda; Arachnida; Araneae; Uloboridae
Exons: 5
Source: RefSeq, a predicted model, not a curated record
AGCUUCGUCGUCAGCAAGAAUUUGCAAAGCAGUUGGAAGAAUUCCAAAAAAGAGAUGCUGAGCUGAGGAAACGGAAGUCUACUGAAGUUCAUUCUCAUGGCGAAAAUGGAUACUCAAAUAGUGAAUCCCUGCAGAAGAGGCGCAGUCCAUCCCCUCCCGUUCCUGCAGUCAGGACAAAAGAGCUGAUGGAACGUACGAUCACCCCCAUACAGUCCCUGGCUCAAGUAAAACCAGAGAAUCUGUUCAGUUCUUUGGCAGAAAUUAGAAGACAAAUUCUGCAAAACCAAGAUAAAAAGCAAACAAAUGCUUCCUAUAAAGUGAUGAAUCGUCGGACAGUGGCAGAUGUUGAUGACGAAUCCGACGAAGAGGCCGUAUCUUAUUCCCGAGUGCCUUCAGUUGCAGAGUAAAUGAAUUUCAGUGCAAAAACAACAGGGACUAUAGUUUUGCAAUCAUGUGUGAUCUCAAGCUUCACAAGUGUUCUGUUUUGGUGUUGGAGUUUA